RNAcentral lists this long non-coding RNA (482 nucleotides) under Apteryx owenii (little spotted kiwi). RNAcentral describes it as "lncRNA (ENSAOWG00000012953.1)". Lineage: Eukaryota; Metazoa; Chordata; Aves; Apterygiformes; Apterygidae. The record is from RNAcentral.
AACAGAUGAAAGAGCAUGUGUAAGGCCUCCAGAAAGCAGGCUGUAGCAUGAGAGCUGUGAGGAACAGAAAACAAGCAAGAUCUGGCAGAGGCAGGAAGAAGUGGCUUGUAGUGGUGAUGGAAGAAAGGUUGUUUCUUCCUUGGUUAUGCAUUCUUAGGUCAGAGGCUUGUCACACAAGAUGAGACCCUUUUUGCUCUUCCUGCUACAUCUGCGCCUCUGAUGCACUCCUCUGCAGGCAAGUUCUUUCUGCUCGCCUUUGUCUGAAUAUGUCCUGCAUUUCUGAUCUGAUCUCAUUAACUCUUUCCAAUUAGUCUGCAUUUACUAAAAGUCAACAUGGGUCCAAGAAUAGCCUCUAUUUUUUCAGUUUUAAAUUUUCAGUUGAUCUGUUCAAGAUUUUCAUAUGCUUUAAUUUCACUGUAAACAGUAUUUUAUGAACAAGCCAGAGCCACCUGUGAAUUCUUGGACCCUUGAUGUAAGAGAAA